This 497-nucleotide ribosomal RNA is filed under the name uncultured bacterium. Its description in RNAcentral is "partial 16S ribosomal RNA". It matches the Rfam family "Bacterial small subunit ribosomal RNA", at positions 28 to 507 of the family's 1533-position model. The record is from RNAcentral.
GAUGAACGCUGGCGGCGUGCCUAAUACAUGCAAGUCGAGCGAACAGACGAGGAGCUUGCUCCUCUGACGUUAGCGGCGGACGGGUGAGUAACACGUGGAUAACCUACCUAUAAGACUGGGAUAACUUCGGGAAGCCGGAGCUAAUACCGGAUAAUAUAUUGAACCGCAUGGUUCAAUAGUGAAAGACGGUUUUGCUGUCACUUAUAGAUGGAUCCGCGCCGCAUUAGCUAGUUGGUAAGGUAACGGCUUACCAAGGCAACGAUGCGCAGCCGACCUGAGAGGGUGAUCGGCCACACUGGAACUGAGACACGGUCCAGACUCCUACGGGAGGCAGCAGUAGGGAAUCUUCCGCAAUGGGCGAAAGCCUGACGGAGCAACGCCGCGUGAGUGAUGAAGGUCUUCGGGUCGUAAAACUCUGUUAUUAGGGAAGAACAAAUGUGUAAGUAACUAUGCACGUCUUGACGGUACCUAAUCAGAAAGCCACGGCUAACUACGUG